This 460-nucleotide ribosomal RNA is filed under the name uncultured bacterium. RNAcentral's name for it is "partial 16S ribosomal RNA". It matches the Rfam family "Bacterial small subunit ribosomal RNA", at positions 338 to 795 of the family's 1533-position model. The record is from RNAcentral.
CCUACGGGUGGCAGCAGUGAGGAAUAUUGGUCAAUGGACGAGAGGCUGAACCAGCCAAGUAGCGUGAAGGAUGACUGCCCUAUGGGUUGUAAACCUCUUUUAUAUGGGAGUAAAAUGUUCCACGUGUGACAUUUUGUGUGUACCCUAUGAAUAAGGAUCGGCUAACUCCGUGCCAGCAGCCGCGGUAAUACGGAGGAUGCGAGCGUUAUCCGGAUUUAUUGGGUUUAAAGGGUGCGUAGGCGGAUGGUGAAGUCAGUUGUGAAAGUUGGCGGCUCAACCCCCAAAUUGCAGUUGAAACUGGCAGUCUUGAGUGCACGAGAAGUAGGCGGAAUGCGUGGUGUAGCGGUGAAAUGCUUAGAUAUCACGAAGAACUCCGAUUGCGAAGGCAGCAUACCGGCGUGCAACUGACGCUGAGGCACGAAAGUGUGGGUAUCGAACAGGAUUAGAUACCCCGGUAGUC